Molecule: ribosomal RNA, 402 nt
Filed under: uncultured bacterium
Lineage: Bacteria
Description: bacterial SSU rRNA
Rfam family: Bacterial small subunit ribosomal RNA
Source: RNAcentral
AGGGAAUAUUAGAAAUGGACGAAAGUCUGAUCUAGCAACACCGCGUGUGCGAUGAAGGCCUUCGGGUCGUAAAGCACUUUUUGGAAGGAAUAGGAAGGAAUGUACUUCCAGAAUAAGUCUCGGCUAACUACGUGCCAGCAGCCGCGGUAACACGUAGGAGGCAAACGUUAUCCGGAUUUACUGGGCGUAAAGCGCGCGUAGGUGGUACUGUAAGUAGGGCGUGAAAGCUCCUGGCUCAACUGGGAGAAGCCGUUCUAAACUACAGAACUAGAGGAUGGUAGAGGGAGGUGGAAUUCCAGGUGUAGCGGUGGAAUGCGCAGAUAUCUGGAGGAACACCGGUGGCGAAGGCGGCCUCCUGGACCAUUCCUGACACUCAGACGCGAAAGCUAGGGUAGCAAACGG